CCUACGGGAGGCAGCAGUGAGGAAUAUUGGUCAAUGGCCGGAAGGCUGAACCAGCCAAGCCGCGUGAAGGACGAAGGUGCCAAGCAUUGUAAACUUCUUUUGUCAAGGGACAAAAUCAGGCUCGAGAGCCUGACUGAGGGUACUUGAAGAAAAAGCAUCGGCUAACUCCGUGCCAGCAGCCGCGGUAAUACGGAGGAUGCGAGCGUUAUCCUGAUUUAUUGGGUUUAAAGGGUGCGUAGGCUGUGAGGUAAGUCAGCGGUGAAAUGCCCCCGCUCAACGGGGUGAAGUGCCAUUGAUACUGCCUUGCUGGAAUGCGGAUGCCGUGGGAGGAAUGUGUGGUGUAGCGGUGAAAUGCAUAGAUAUCACACAGAACACCGAUUGCGAAGGCAGCUCACGAAUGCGCGAUUGACGCUGAUGCACGAAAGCGUGGGUAUCGAACAGGAUUAGAUACCCUAGUAGUC
Molecule: ribosomal RNA, 461 nt
Filed under: uncultured bacterium
Lineage: Bacteria
Description: partial 16S ribosomal RNA
Rfam family: Bacterial small subunit ribosomal RNA
Source: RNAcentral